AAGACACUAGUAUAGAGGAUAAUACACUGCUUUGUCAGGGCAGAGUCGUGGGUUUAACCCCCGCGUGUCUUA
RNAcentral lists this transfer RNA (72 nucleotides) under Eleotris amblyopsis (large-scaled spinycheek sleeper). RNAcentral describes it as "tRNA-Asp". It matches the Rfam family "tRNA". Rfam says of the family: Transfer RNA (tRNA) molecules are approximately 80 nucleotides in length. Their secondary structure includes four short double-helical elements and three loops (D, anti-codon, and T loops). Further hydrogen bonds mediate the characteristic L-shaped molecular structure. tRNAs have two regions of fundamental functional importance: the anti-codon, which is responsible for specific mRNA codon recognition, and the 3' end, to which the tRNAs corresponding amino acid is attached (by aminoacyl-tRNA synthetases). tRNAs cope with the degeneracy of the genetic code in two manners: having more than one tRNA (with a specific anti-codon) for a particular amino acid; and 'wobble' base-pairing, i.e. permitting non-standard base-pairing at the 3rd anti-codon position. The record is from RNAcentral. Lineage: Eukaryota; Metazoa; Chordata; Actinopteri; Gobiiformes; Eleotridae.